GUCCUCUUGCUUAUAUAUGAGGUCUGACCUGCCCGGUGAAAUUUAUUUUAACGGCCGCAGUAUUUUGACUGUGCAAAGGUAGCAUAAUCAUUAGUCUUUUAAUAGGGGGCUGGUAUGAAGGGUUUGACGAGGUGUUAGCUGUCUCAUUUAAUUUGUAGUUAGAAUUUAACUUUUCAGUUAAAAGGCUGAAAUAUUAUUGGAAGACGAGAAGACCCUAUAGAGCUUUAUAAUUAAUGUCUUAAUUGUUUUUUGUUUAUUAUUUACCAUUAUUGCUUUAAUUAUUUUGUUGGGGUGACAAAAAUAUAUAGUUAACUUUUUUAUUUAUAUAACAUUGAUUAAUGAAUAUUAGAUCCAUUAUUAUUGAUUGUUAGAUUAAGUUACC
This 382-nucleotide ribosomal RNA is filed under the name Gomphus graslinellus. Its description in RNAcentral is "partial 16S ribosomal RNA". Lineage: Eukaryota; Metazoa; Arthropoda; Insecta; Odonata; Gomphidae. The record is from RNAcentral.